Molecule: ribosomal RNA, 546 nt
Filed under: uncultured bacterium
Lineage: Bacteria
Description: partial 16S ribosomal RNA
Rfam family: Bacterial small subunit ribosomal RNA
Source: RNAcentral
UGGGGAAUUUUGGACAAUGGGCGAAAGCCUGAUCCAGCAAUGCCGCGUGUGUGAAGAAGGCCUUCGGGUUGUAAAGCACUUUUGUCCGGAAAGAAAUCCUCUGGGUUAAUACCUCGGGGGGAUGACGGUACCGGAAGAAUAAGCACCGGCUAACUACGUGCCAGCAGCCGCGGUAAUACGUAGGGUGCAAGCGUUAAUCGGAAUUACUGGGCGUAAAGCGUGCGCAGGCGGUUUUGUAAGACGGAUGUGAAAUCCCCGGGCUUAACCUGGGAACUGCAUUCGUGACUGCAAGGCUAGAGUAUGGCAGAGGGGGGUAGAAUUCCACGUGUAGCAGUGAAAUGCGUAGAGAUGUGGAGGAAUACCGAUGGCGAAGGCAGCCCCCGGGCCAAUACUGACGCUCAUGCACGAAAGCGUGGGGAGCAAACAGGAUUAGAUACCCUGGUAGUCCACGCCCUAAACGAUGUCAACUAGUUGUUGGGGAUUCAUUUCCUUAGUAACGUAGCUAACGCGUGAAGUUGACCGCCUGGGGAGUACGGUCGCAAGAUU